AGUGAACGCUGGCGGUAGGCCUAACACAUGCAAGUCGAACGGCAGCACAGUAAGAGCUUGCUCUUACGGGUGGCGAGUGGCGGACGGGUGAGGAAUACAUCGGAAUCUACUUUUUCGUGGGGGAUAACGUAGGGAAACUUACGCUAAUACCGCAAACGACCUACGGGUGAAAGCAGGGGAUCUUCGGACCUUGCGCGAUUGAAUGAGCCGAUGUCGGAUUAGCUAGUUGGCGGGGUAAAGGCCCACCAAGGCGACGAUCCGUAGCUGGUCUGAGAGGAUGAUCCGCCACACUGGAACUGAGACACGGUCCAGACUCCUACGGGAGGCAGCAGUGGGGAAUAUUGGGCAAUGGGCGCAAGCCUGAUCCAGCCAUACCGCGUGGGUGAAGAAGGCCUUCUGGUUGUAAAGCCCUUUUGUUGGGAAAGAAAAGCAGCAGGUUAAUACCCCGCUGUUCUGACGGUACCCAAAGAAUAAGCACCGGCUAACUUCGUG
Molecule: ribosomal RNA, 492 nt
Filed under: uncultured bacterium
Lineage: Bacteria
Description: partial 16S ribosomal RNA
Rfam family: Bacterial small subunit ribosomal RNA
Source: RNAcentral